GUUCUGGCCAUUCUGAAAGUAAAAUAAUGCAAUUCCCAGCUCCUUCCCUUACCGUGGCUUGGGAAUAUUAGGAGGUUCUAAGUUCAGUCAUUAUAAUAUAAACCAGUCUUUUUGUGGGAAAAAAUAAUUCACGGCUGGCUGAACACUGGAGCACAGGAAAUGGCCAGAGCCCUGCCAGCUUUCAGCAACCACCACCCUGGCCAGUUGUCUGCAAUCGACAAAGCAAAACACUCCACCAGCAAAAAGAAUAUGACUCACUGAAAACUUAGAUGAUAGAAUUUUUUUUUAGCAAUAAAGCGUUUUUAAAUUAAGGAACAAGAAUUUAAGAACGGAAUCCAACCAAUGGGUAGACCAUUUCGGAGAGUGUUUUCAUGCUCAACUCUUGAUUCCCCUGUCUUUGUGAAGCUGAAAGUCACCAGACACUAUUUGAAAGCUUGUUCCACUAUUCUCGAUAUUCUUUUCUUUUCAUUAUUUCAACUAUGCUAGUCAAAUGAGUUUCCAUGGCCCUGUCCUCAAAAGUUGUACAGGGCAUGAUGGCUUGUUUUGCUUGGCAAAAUUCUCUAGAACGUGAUUCAUUGUCUGCAGGUGAUUCAUGGUUAGGAAAUUAAUUCUGAACUCUGCCAGUGAUUGCGGUUGAUUAAAGUCCAGAAGUCCCUGCCGUCUAUUCACUAGCACUCUUUGUCAACUGGAAUAUUUCUAUAAUAAAAAGGGCCGAAAGUA
Molecule: long non-coding RNA, 720 nt
Organism: Canis lupus familiaris (dog)
Lineage: Eukaryota; Metazoa; Chordata; Mammalia; Carnivora; Canidae
Exons: 3
Source: RefSeq, a predicted model, not a curated record